This 497-nucleotide ribosomal RNA is filed under the name uncultured bacterium. Its description in RNAcentral is "partial 16S ribosomal RNA". It matches the Rfam family "Bacterial small subunit ribosomal RNA", at positions 28 to 507 of the family's 1533-position model. The record is from RNAcentral.
GACGAACGCUGGCGGCGUGCCUAAUACAUGCCAGUAGAACGCUGAAGAGAGGAGCUUGCUCUUCUUGGAUGAGUUGCGAACGGGUGAGUAACGCGUAGGUAACCCGCCUUGUAGCGGGGGAUAACUAUUGGAAACGAUAGCUAAUACCGCAUAACAAUGGAUGACACAUGUCAUUUAUUUGAAAGGGGCAAUUGCUCCACUACAAGAUGGACCUGCGUUGUAUUAGCUAGUAGGUGAGGUAAUGGCUCACCUAGGCGACGAUACAUAGCCGACCUGAGAGGGUGAUCGGCCACACUGGGACUGAGACACGGCCCAGACUCCUACGGGAGGCAGCAGUAGGGAAUCUUCGGCAAUGGGGGCAACCCUGACCGAGCAACGCCGCGUGAGUGAAGAAGGUUUUCGGAUCGUAAAGCUCUGUUGUAAGUCAAGAACGGGUGUGAGAGUGGAAAGUUCACACUGUGACGGUAGCUUACCAGAAAGGGACGGCUAACUACGUG